CCUCAGAGCGGAACCAGAACCGAAUCCUGCGGAGGUCCGAGGAGACCCGCAGGUCCUGCCUCUGACACCCCCGCCCCCCCGAUCGAGCGACGCGUUCACGGUCACCACAACCUGCCGUUACCGUCAUGACGCGUUCAGGCGGCAACCAGCGAAUUCGUCCCACGAUGAAAGCGGGACGGGACACGUGAAUUUGAGCAGCGUUUACAAACAAUCAGGUCGUCUUCCUCUGAAUACAAACUCUCAGAAAGCUGCUUUUCUUCUGUCGAUCUGAUGUCCUUCCAUCACUGCUGCUCCUCCAAAGCUGUGAGGAUCUGAGUCUGCAGAGGUCAGCACUCCGUGACGGUCCAGCCUGCAGCCUCCAGCUGUUUCCAUGGCGACUGAAGGAUUCUCACAGCUGAACCUUCAGAGACGGUUCUGCUGAACGUGGAGCUUCAGGUGAUUCACUAAAGGCUGGAGCGUGGAACCUGCAACCCACCGCGGCUAUCAACCAGUUAACUCACAGAGAGCUAAAAAUAGAACUUAAGCUGUAAACUUUGAACCUAAAUUGCAAAGCAUUCUGGGUAACAGUGAUGCUUUAAGAUACAGUCA
This is a long non-coding RNA of Oryzias melastigma (Indian medaka), 588 nucleotides long. RefSeq lists it as uncharacterized. The transcript has 3 exons. Lineage: Eukaryota; Metazoa; Chordata; Actinopteri; Beloniformes; Adrianichthyidae. The record is from RefSeq and is a predicted model, not a curated record.